Molecule: transfer RNA, 88 nt
Filed under: Candidatus Tayloriibacteriota bacterium
Lineage: Bacteria; Candidatus Tayloriibacteriota
Description: tRNA-Ser
Rfam family: tRNA
About the family: Transfer RNA (tRNA) molecules are approximately 80 nucleotides in length. Their secondary structure includes four short double-helical elements and three loops (D, anti-codon, and T loops).
Source: RNAcentral
GGAGGGUUGCGAGAGCGGUUAAUCGAACAGGUUGCUAACCUGUGACGGUCUUAAAAAUCGUCCGUGGGUUCGAAUCCCACACCCUCCG